Long non-coding RNA from Pseudophryne corroboree (corroboree frog), 427 nucleotides. RefSeq lists it as uncharacterized. NCBI's taxonomy places the organism in Eukaryota, Metazoa, Chordata, Amphibia, Anura, Myobatrachidae. The record is from RefSeq and is a predicted model, not a curated record. The transcript is spliced from 3 exons.
CCUCCUACCAGCAGAACACGCAGGGGGGGGGGGGGGGGGAUGCACUCCAUCGUCCGCACAGGCUGGCCACUUUCACUUUCUAUUCCAUGUCCUGGCUGCAGCUGCAGCCUGCUUGUGAUUUAUGACAUGAUGCUGUUCUCCGUUCUCCCUGCUCUCCAGCCCUCCCCCUCUACAACAUGCUGAUGCAGGGGCUUGAGUGUGGUCAGAGCAGGCCGAGUUUAACUCUUUGAAACCUGUUUUCUAAUGUAUUGAAGAAUGCUGCUGCUGGCCUACAAGACAAUUGAAGAUGAAGAUUUAAAGUUCCCUCUAAUAUAUGGAGAAGGAAAAAAGGCUCGUGUAAUAGCAACAAUAGGUGUAGGACUUGGUGAUCAUGAUUUGAAAGUCCAUGACUCCAAUAUUUACAUUAAACCCUUUCUCUCUUCAAUUC